CCUACGGGGGACAGCAGUGAGGAAUAUUGGUCAAUGGACGGAAGUCUGAACCAGCCAUGCCGCGUGCAGGAAGACGGCCCUAUGAGUUGUAAACUGCUUUUGUACAAGGGUAAACCUGAAUACGUGUAACCAGCUGAAAGUUCUGUACGAAUAAGGAUCGGCUAACUCCGUGCCAGCAGCCGCGGUAAUAUGGAGGAUCCAAGCGUUAUCCGGAUUUAUUGGGGUUAAAGGGUGCGUAGGCGGAUUGAUAAGUUAGAGGUGAAAUGUCCGGGCUUAACUCGGGAACUGCCUCUAAUACUGUUGAGCUAGAGAGUAGAUGCGGUAGGCGGAAUGUAUGGUGUAGCGGUGAAAUGCUUAGAGAUCAUACAGAACACCGAUUGCGAAGGCAGCUUACCAAUCUAUAUCUGACGUUGAGGCACGAAAGCGUGGGGAGCAAACAGGAUUAGAUACCCUUGUAGUC
This 460-nucleotide ribosomal RNA is filed under the name uncultured bacterium. Its description in RNAcentral is "partial 16S ribosomal RNA". It matches the Rfam family "Bacterial small subunit ribosomal RNA", at positions 338 to 795 of the family's 1533-position model. The record is from RNAcentral.